This 777-nucleotide ribosomal RNA is filed under the name uncultured Neocallimastigales. Its description in RNAcentral is "partial large subunit ribosomal RNA". It matches the Rfam family "Eukaryotic large subunit ribosomal RNA", at positions 23 to 619 of the family's 3401-position model. Lineage: Eukaryota; Fungi; Neocallimastigomycota; Neocallimastigomycetes; Neocallimastigales. The record is from RNAcentral.
AGAGAGAGACAUGCGCGCAUAUCAAUAAGCGGAGGAAAAGAAACUAACAAGGAUUCCCCUAGUAACGGCGAGUGAAGCGGGAAGAGCUCAAAUUUGAAAUCUUAAAGGGUUUCCCUUUACGAAUUGUAGUUUAAAGAAGUGUUUUUCUGUUGAGGUUUUGGUAAAAGUUCUUUGGAAUAGGACAUCAUAGAGGGUGAGAAUCCCGUAUUUGACCUUUACCUUUCAACUUUGUGAUACACUUUCAAAGAGUCGGAUUGUUUGGGAAUGCAGUCCAAAAUGGGUGGUAAAUUUCAUCUAAAGCUAAAUAUUGGCGAGAGACCGAUAGCGAACAAGUACCGUGAGGGAAAGAUGAAAAGAACUUUGAAAAGAGAGUUAAACAGUACGUGAAAUUGUCAAAAGGGAAGCGUUUGACACCAGUGUUGUUUUUCUGAAAAUCAAUUAAAGAACUGUUUAUGCUAAGUUGUUUAGACUUUAUCAGCUAACUGUUUAGUUUUGAGCUUUUCUUUAAUGCACUUUUCAGUUAACAAGUCAACAUCAAUUUCUUUUGCUGUAAAAAAGCUUGAGGAAGGUGGCUUGAGAUUCGUCUUAAGUGUUUAUAGCCUCUUGCCUAUGCAGUCGGAGAGAUUGAGGUCUGCAGCGUAGAUCCUUCGGGGCUAAAUGCAUUUGUGCUAAGUUAUAGCAUUUUAUAGACAACUUGUUGACUAUGAUUUGUCUUGUAGCUUACUCGCUUAUGUUAUUUUACCUACGCUUAGGAUGUUGAGCGCAUGUCUCUCUCUA